RNAcentral lists this ribosomal RNA (253 nucleotides) under uncultured bacterium. RNAcentral describes it as "partial 16S ribosomal RNA". It matches the Rfam family "Bacterial small subunit ribosomal RNA", at positions 524 to 776 of the family's 1533-position model. The record is from RNAcentral.
CACGUAGGGGACGAGCGUUGUCCGGAUUCAUUGGGCGUAAAGCGCGCGUAGGCGGCUCGGAAAGUCGGUCGUGAAAUGCCGGGGCUCAACCCCGGGACUGCGUCCGAUACUUCCGGGCUGGAGGUAGGUAGGGGAGAUCGGAAUUCCUGGUGUAGCGGUGAAAUGCGCAGAUAUCAGGAGGAACACCCGUGGCGAAGGCGGCUCUCUGGGACGGUACUGACGCUGAGACGCGAAAGCGUGGGGAGCGAACAGG